This 468-nucleotide ribosomal RNA is filed under the name uncultured bacterium. RNAcentral describes it as "partial 16S ribosomal RNA". It matches the Rfam family "Bacterial small subunit ribosomal RNA", at positions 28 to 507 of the family's 1533-position model. The record is from RNAcentral.
GACGAGCGCUGGCGGCGUGCUUAACACAUGCAAGUCGAACGGAAAGGCCCUGCUUUUGUGGGGUGCUCGAGUGGCGAACGGGUGAGUAACACGUGAGUAACCUGCCCUUGACUUUGGGAUAACUUCAGGAAACUGGGGCUAAUACCGGAUAGGAGCUCCUGCUGCAUGGUGGGGGUUGGAAAGUUCCGGCGGUUGGGGAUGGACUCGCGGCUUAUCAGCUUGUUGGUGGGGUAGUGGCUUACCAAGGCUUUGACGGGUAGCCGGCCUGAGAGGGUGACCGGCCACAUUGGGACUGAGAUACGGCCCAGACUCCUACGGGAGGCAGCAGUGGGGAAUAUUGCACAAUGGGCGGAAGCCUGAUGCAGCAACGCCGCGUUCGGGAUGACGGCCUUCGGGUUGUAAACCGCUUUCGCCUGUGACGAAGCGUGAGUGACGGUAAUGGGUAAAGAAGCACCGGCUAACUACGUG